GCAUCCGAUUCAGCAGCACAGAUACUGGAAUCAGAACCACACUGAGAAGAUUAGCAUGGACCCUUCACGCGGAUGUCAUGCAAAUGUGUGAGAUGUUCGAAUGCAUC
RNAcentral lists this small nuclear RNA (107 nucleotides) under Mus pahari (shrew mouse). The record is from RNAcentral. Lineage: Eukaryota; Metazoa; Chordata; Mammalia; Rodentia; Muridae.